This 587-nucleotide ribosomal RNA is filed under the name uncultured bacterium. Its description in RNAcentral is "bacterial SSU rRNA". It matches the Rfam family "Bacterial small subunit ribosomal RNA", at positions 338 to 916 of the family's 1533-position model. The record is from RNAcentral.
CCUACGGGAGGCAGCAGUGGGGAAUAUUGCGCAAUGGGGGAAACCCUGACGCAGCAACGCCGCGUGAGUGAGGAAGGACUUCGGUCUGUAAAGCUCUGUUAAUGUGGAAAAAUGGUAGUUGGUCUAAUAGGCCGAUUAUUUGAUGGUACACAUAGAGGAAGCACCGGCUAACUUCGUGCCAGCAGCCGCGGUAAUACGAAGGGUGCAAGCGUUGUUCGGAUUUAUUGGGCGUAAAGCGCGCGUAGGCGGACCUGUAAGUCAGAUGUGAAAUCUCGGGGCUCAACCUCGAAACUGCGUCUGAAACUGCAGGUCUAGAAUCUCGGAGGGGGAAGGGGAAUUUCGCAUGUAGGGGUAAAAUCCGUAGAUAUGCGAAGGAACACCAGAGGCGAAGGCGCCUUCCUGGACGAGUAUUGACGCUGAGGCGCGAAAGCGUGGGGAUCAAACAGGAUUAGAUACCCUGGUAGUCCACGCUGUAAACUAUGAACACUAGGUAUUGGAGGAUUUGACCCCUUCAGUGCCGUAGCUAACGCGUUAAGUGUUCCGCCUGGGAAGUACGGUCGCAGACUAAACGUCAAAUGAAUUGACGG